GGCGUAGCUCUCAUACUUUACUGCCUCCUCUUCCAUCAAGAAGAUCUGCCAUUAAGAAAUUUCCUGAUGAGAAAUCGGUGGCACAUGAAUUACCAGUUUCCCGUCAAAGUUCCUAUGGCCAAGGCGUCCUAAACGGUAUUAAUGUUCUUUGUGGAGUAGGAAUCCUUUCUACACCUUAUGCUGUGAAAGAAGGUGGAUGGGCAGGGCUUUCUAUAUUGUUCAUCUUCGGUGUGCUUUCGUACUAUACUGGCAUUCUCCUGAGAUACUGCUUAGACAGCCAACCAGGGCUUGAAACUUACCCGGAUAUUGGUCAGGCUGCAUUCGGUACAGUUGGAAGAAUUAUCAUAUCGAUAAUUUUGUACGUGGAGUUAUAUUCCUGUUGUGUUGAAUACAUAAUUUUGGAGGGAGAUAACCUAUCGGCUUUAUUUCCAAAUGCACAUUUGAAUUUAGGAGGCUGCCAAUUAGAUGCACGGCAUCUCUUUGCUUUGAUAACCAGCUUAGCUGUUCUUCCUACCGUUUGGCUGCGAGACCUCACUGUUCUUAGUUACAUAUCAGCUGGAGGAGUUAUUGCUUCUGUGAUGGUUGUCAUUUGCUUGUACUGGCUUGGUUUAGUCGAUCACGUGGGCACUCAAAGCACAGAAACUGUUCUGAAUCUUUCUAGUCUUCCUGUUGCUAUUGGACUUUAUGGAUAUUGUUACUCUGGGCAUGCAGUGUUUCCCAAUAUAUACACAUCAUUGGAGAAACGUAGCCAAUUCCCUGCUGUCCUCUUUACCAGUUUUGCUAUUGUGACUGUGUUGUAUGCUGGAGCAGCUGUGAUGGGAUACAUGAUGUUUGGGGACUCAGCUCAAUCCCAGUUUACUCUAAACUUGCCAACAGAUUUAGUUGCCUCCAAGAUUGCUUUUUGGACCACGAUCGUUAAUCCAUUCACAAAAUAUGCAUUGACCAUGGCCCCUGUGGCUAUGAGUUUAGAGGAGUUGAUACCAUCGAACCACACCAAAUCGCACAUGUACAGUAUCCUCAUUAGAACAGCACUGGUUAUGUCCACAUUAUUCGUGGCUCUCAAAAUUCCAUUUUUCGCAUUUGUGAUGGCGUUGAUCGGAUCAUUUUUCACCAUGCUCGUUACACUGAUUCUACCUUGUGCUUGCUUCUUGAGAAUUUUGAAGGGAAAAAUAAGCCCCAUUCAGGUAGUAACAUGUAUACUUAUCAUCAUAAUAGGCAGCAUAUCAGCAGUUAUUGGAUCUUACUCAGCUCUCUCCAAAAUCAUCCACAGUUUAUGAGUGAAGAAAAUUGGCAAUACAAACACAAUGGCCAUCAUAGAUGUUUUCAAGUCUUAGAUUUAACAAAAUUUCAUUUUCUCAGUGUGUUCUGCUAUUAAUCUCAGGCUUGUGAUGUUUUCAAGUCCUUUAGAGAAAAAAAAAAAACCUUUUAUGUCAUAUUGAUUGCAUGUUACUUAAAGCAUAUGGCUAUAUAUAGAUUGC
This 1478-nucleotide unclassified non-coding RNA is filed under the name Hevea brasiliensis (rubber tree). Lineage: Eukaryota; Viridiplantae; Streptophyta; Magnoliopsida; Malpighiales; Euphorbiaceae. The record is from RNAcentral.